GGGCCUGUAGCUCAGUUGGCAGAGCAUCGGACUUUUAAUCCGCGGGUCGAGGGUUCGAGCCCCUCCGGGCCCACCA
Molecule: transfer RNA, 76 nt
Filed under: Microbacterium testaceum
Lineage: Bacteria; Bacillati; Actinomycetota; Actinomycetes; Micrococcales; Microbacteriaceae
Also listed under: 38 other names
Description: tRNA-Lys
Rfam family: tRNA
About the family: Transfer RNA (tRNA) molecules are approximately 80 nucleotides in length. Their secondary structure includes four short double-helical elements and three loops (D, anti-codon, and T loops). Further hydrogen bonds mediate the characteristic L-shaped molecular structure. tRNAs have two regions of fundamental functional importance: the anti-codon, which is responsible for specific mRNA codon recognition, and the 3' end, to which the tRNAs corresponding amino acid is attached (by aminoacyl-tRNA synthetases). tRNAs cope with the degeneracy of the genetic code in two manners: having more than one tRNA (with a specific anti-codon) for a particular amino acid; and 'wobble' base-pairing, i.e. permitting non-standard base-pairing at the 3rd anti-codon position.
Source: RNAcentral